GUUUUUGUAUUUUUUUU
This 17-nucleotide small RNA is filed under the name Arabidopsis thaliana (thale cress). RNAcentral describes it as "ATSL226210". The record is from RNAcentral. Lineage: Eukaryota; Viridiplantae; Streptophyta; Magnoliopsida; Brassicales; Brassicaceae.